Molecule: ribosomal RNA, 486 nt
Filed under: Ralstonia pickettii
Lineage: Bacteria; Pseudomonadati; Pseudomonadota; Betaproteobacteria; Burkholderiales; Burkholderiaceae
Description: bacterial SSU rRNA
Rfam family: Bacterial small subunit ribosomal RNA
Source: RNAcentral
AUGCCUUACACAUGCAAGUCGAACGGCAGCAUGAUCUAGCUUGCUAGAUUGAUGGCGAGUGGCGAACGGGUGAGUAAUACAUCGGAACGUGCCCUGUAGUGGGGGAUAACUAGUCGAAAGAUUAGCUAAUACCGCAUACGACCUGAGGGUGAAAGUGGGGGACCGCAAGGCCUCAUGCUAUAGGAGCGGCCGAUGUCUGAUUAGCUAGUUGGUGGGGUAAAGGCCCACCAAGGCGACGAUCAGUAGCUGGUCUGAGAGGACGAUCAGCCACACUGGGACUGAGACACGGCCCAGACUCCUACGGGAGGCAGCAGUGGGGAAUUUUGGACAAUGGGCGAAAGCCUGAUCCAGCAAUGCCGCGUGUGUGAAGAAGGCCUUCGGGUUGUAAAGCACUUUUGUCCGGAAAGAAAUGGCUCUGGUUAAUACCUGGGGUCGAUGACGGUACCGGAAGAAUAAGGACCGGCUAACUACUGCCACACCCACCCU